Molecule: long non-coding RNA, 511 nt
Organism: Ctenopharyngodon idella (grass carp)
Lineage: Eukaryota; Metazoa; Chordata; Actinopteri; Cypriniformes; Xenocyprididae
Exons: 3
Source: RefSeq, a predicted model, not a curated record
CAGGAAGUGUGUGUACAUUUGAGUCAGAGUCUUGGGAAUCUUUCCUUUCCACGAUUUCCACAACAUCUUCUCUAGAACAGUGGCUGAGAUCCAGCAGAACACUGGGAUGUGACACAUAAUAAAGAGGCUCCUUGAUGACUUCAGGUGUGAGAUGAUCCUGUCGGCCAGACUCCGAUCACUGAUUCUCUUCCUGAAGUAUUCCUGCUUCUGUGGGUCACUGAAGCCUCGUACCUCUGUCACUCGAUGGACACACUCAGAGGGGACGAGAUCAGCUGCUGCUGGUCUGGAGGUGAUCCAGAUGAGAGCAGAGGGAAGCAGAUUCCCCACAAUGAGGUUCGUCAGCAGCACGUCCACUGAGGCUGAUUCAGUCACAUCACACAACCUCACAUCGCUCUGAAAAUCCAGAGACAGACGACACUCAUCCAGACCAUCAAAGAUGAAGGAAACUUUAUACUUAUCACUGGAUAUUUCCAUUUCUUUUGUUUCAGGGAAAAAGACAUGAAGAAGAUCU